GAUGAACGCUGGCUACAGGCUUAACACAUGCAAGUCGAGGGGAAACGACGGGGAAGCUUGCUUCCCCGGGCGUCGACCGGCGCACGGGUGAGUAACGCGUAUCCAACCUGCCUCUGACUGAGGGAUAACCCGUCGAAAGUCGGCCUAAUACCUCAUGGUAUCGUCUGCGGGCAUCCAACGACGAUUAAAGAUUUCAUCGGUCAGGGAUGGGGAUGCGUCUGAUUAGCUUGUUGGCGGGGUAACGGCCCACCAAGGCUACGAUCAGUAGGGGUUCUGAGAGGAAGGUCCCACACAUUGGAACUGAGACACGGUCCAAACUCCUACGGGAGGCAGCAGUGAGGAAUAUUGGUCAAUGGGCGAGAGCCUGAACCAGCCAAGUAGCGUGCAGGAAGACGGCCCUAUGGGUUGUAAACUGCUUUUAUGCGGGGAUAAAGUGAGGGACGUGUCCCUCAUUGCAGGUACCGCAUGAAUAAGGACCGGCUAAUUCCGUG
RNAcentral lists this ribosomal RNA (491 nucleotides) under uncultured bacterium. Its description in RNAcentral is "partial 16S ribosomal RNA". It matches the Rfam family "Bacterial small subunit ribosomal RNA", at positions 28 to 507 of the family's 1533-position model. The record is from RNAcentral.